This 510-nucleotide ribosomal RNA is filed under the name uncultured diatom. Its description in RNAcentral is "bacterial SSU rRNA". It matches the Rfam family "Eukaryotic small subunit ribosomal RNA", at positions 485 to 999 of the family's 1831-position model. The record is from RNAcentral. Lineage: Eukaryota; Bacillariophyta.
GCCGUGCCCUUUUGGGUAUGGCUUUUGGAACGAGAGAAACACAGAAUCCACAUCGAGGAUCAAUUGGAGGGCAAGUCUGGUGCCAGCAGCCGCGGUAAUUCCAGCUUCAGUAGCGUAUAUUAAAGUUGUUGCAGUUAAAAAGCUCGUAGCCGCAUUUCUGGAGCGAAGAGUCGGUCCGAUCUUAGAUUGGUACUUGACUGUUUCGCUCCAUCUUUGAGUGGUGCAUUCUGGCAUUAGGUUGUCGGAGUGUUAGCCACUCAUCGUUUACUGUGAGAAAAUUAGAGUGUUCAAAGCAGGCUUAUGCCGUUGAAUAUAUUAGCAUGGAAUAAUAAGAUAGGACCUCGGUACUAUUUUGUUGGUUUGAGAACCAAGGUAAUGAUGAAUAGGGACAGUUGGGGGUAUUCGUAUUUCGUUGUCAGAGGUGAAAUUCUUGGAUUUCCGAAAGACGAACUACUGCGAAAGCAUUUACCAAGGAUGUUUUCAUUAAUCAAGAACGAAAGUUAGGGGAUC